RNAcentral lists this ribosomal RNA (118 nucleotides) under uncultured bacterium. RNAcentral describes it as "partial 16S ribosomal RNA". It matches the Rfam family "Bacterial small subunit ribosomal RNA", at positions 1369 to 1482 of the family's 1533-position model. The record is from RNAcentral.
CGUUCCCGGGCCUUGUACACACCGCCCGUCACACCACGAAAGUCGGCAACACCCGAAGCCGGUGGCCCAACCUACUUGUAGGAGGGAGCCGUCGAAGGUGGGGUCGGUGAUUGGGGUG